This is a long non-coding RNA of Colossoma macropomum (tambaqui), 275 nucleotides long. RefSeq lists it as uncharacterized. The record is from RefSeq and is a predicted model, not a curated record. The transcript has 3 exons. Lineage: Eukaryota; Metazoa; Chordata; Actinopteri; Characiformes; Serrasalmidae.
CACUAAUCAGCAGCAGACAGACAGACACUAAUAGAGCAACUUGGUCAGCAGUAACAGUCAUGAGUUCAGCUCUGUAUCUGAUCCUGCUUUUCUCAGCUCUGUGGACUCUCUCCUUCUGUGGGACUCAUCAGUUUCGUGUGGUGAAUGAAAAUAAGAACUGGACCGACGCUCAGAAAUACUGCAGAGAGAAAUACAUUGACCUGGCCACCAUUGAGAGCCAAGAGGAAAUGAACAUUUUAAUAGCUUUUCUCAAUGGGAGAGCAAACCUUUCCUGG